Molecule: ribosomal RNA, 460 nt
Filed under: uncultured bacterium
Lineage: Bacteria
Description: partial 16S ribosomal RNA
Rfam family: Bacterial small subunit ribosomal RNA
Source: RNAcentral
CCUACGGGAGGCAGCAGUGAGGAAUAUUGGUCAAUGGACGAAAGUCUGAACCAGCCAAGUAGCGUGAAGGAUGACUGCCCUCUGGGUUGUAAACUUCUUUUAUAUGGGAGUAAAAUGUUCCACGUGUGGGAUUUUGUAUGUACCAUAUGAAUAAGGAUCGGCUAACUCCGUGCCAGCAGCCGCGGUAAUACGGAGGAUCCGAGCGUUAUCCGGAUUUAUUGGGUUUAAAGGGAGCGUAGGUGGAUUGGUAAGUCAGUUGUGAAAGGUUGCGGCUCAACCGUAAAAUUGCAGUUGAAACUGGAAGUCUAGAGUACAGUAGAGGUGGGCGGAAUUCGUGGUGUAGCAGUGAAAUGCGUAGAUAUCACGAAGAACUCCGAUGGCGAAGGCAGCUCACUGGACUGCAACUGACACUGAGGCACGAAAGUGUGGGUAUCAAACAGGAUUAGAUACCCCAGUAGUC